UACAGAGGUCCCAAGCGUUGUUCGGAUUCAUUGGGCGUAAAGGGUGCGUAGGCGGCGCGGUAAGUCGGGUGUGAAAUCUCGGAGCUUAACUCCGAAACUGCAUUCGAUACUGCCGUGCUUGAGGACUGGAGAGGAGACUGGAAUUUACGGUGUAGCGGUGAAAUGCGUAGAUAUCGUAAGGAAGACCAGUGGCGAAGGCGAGUCUCUGGACAGUUACUGACACUGAGGCACGAAGGCCAGGGGAGCAAACGGG
RNAcentral lists this ribosomal RNA (253 nucleotides) under uncultured bacterium. RNAcentral describes it as "partial 16S ribosomal RNA". It matches the Rfam family "Bacterial small subunit ribosomal RNA", at positions 524 to 776 of the family's 1533-position model. The record is from RNAcentral.